This is a long non-coding RNA of Clupea harengus (Atlantic herring), 666 nucleotides long. NCBI's taxonomy places the organism in Eukaryota, Metazoa, Chordata, Actinopteri, Clupeiformes, Clupeidae. The record is from Ensembl.
GCGGUUCACUGACUCUGAUCUGCAAUAGUGAAGCCCACCCACCGGUGUAUAACCACUCCUGGUUUAAGAAGACUGCAACUGGAUCUGUACAGAUAGGAUCAGACAAGAAUCACAAAUUCAGUGACAUCAUGUUGGAGGACAGUGGACGUUACUACUGCGUCGCAAAGAAUGAACUUGGCGAAGAAAGCUCCAGCAUGAUGUACAUAGAAGUUACUGGCAGACUGUGGCUGAUCCUGGUUUCUGUCGGGGGGGUGCUGGGGGCUCUGGCUGCUGUGGCUCUGAUUGGUGUCAUCAUCUACAAAGUGAAGAGAUGGGCAUUUAAAGACACUGCAGAUGGAAAGGGGUCCCAACCUGAGGAUGAAGAUGGCACAUACGCAGCCCUAGACCCCAAGACCACAAGCCCUGCAGAGUAUGAUGCUCUCACUAGGGUGAAGAAACCACGCCAGGGAGACUAAAGCCAGUGGAUUCUCCUGCACAUGCUCAGCUUUCUGCACUAUCCUGAUGUGGACGACCCCUCAAGUCUGUCGCUGAAAUCAUGCAUUACAAUGUCUAUGGGUUAUUGGACACAGCCUGAGUAGAGAAUGGGAAUGGGAAUUCUGUUUGUUAUGCUAGUGUGGAGAUAUUGCAGGCAUAUAAUAAAGAUAUUAUUACAUUGGUUCAGACAUU